AGCAAACGCUUGACGAUGGGCGGCGUGAAGGGCAAGAUCGACAUGGUUCGAGCCGGCAAAGGAGCUUUAGAAUAACCCACAGCUUCAGUAAAGGUGACCAUGUAACUGUUGGAUUGGUGUAAAAAAUAGAAUUGGUUCACUCAUGACCUGGAGAUUCCAAGCCAAUGUUGGAGGAUUGGGAAGCUCUGUUAUAUGGUUCCUCCAUCUUCAUGUGAAUUGGGCCUUUGACAAGGAGGCAAGGGCUCAUAACACCCAAGAAAGGGUUCUGACAUGAGGAGGAGUACCCUGUCUCCACAUAGUGACUGCCAUGGAGAAUUCUAUGGAGUGGUUCAUUGUGUAUUGUUCCUCGCCUUCACCCAGCUCUCACCUGCAGCUCCAAAUAUUUGUUCGCAUGUGACAGUGGCCACACCCUGGUAAACUGCUUCAGGUGGGUGGCAGUCGAGUAUCCUACCCAAUACAAGACGAUUUGGCUACACUGGCAUGUGAAGACUGAUUCUGGCAGACUGGGUGGAUGAGACCAAUCUAAGGUCCAAAGUUCCUGAAAACGGGUCAGCACUGUGUUGCAGAAUGCGUAGAGCUCAACAAGACACAGAAAAGGUCCUGCUCACCCACAGUGUCCAGAUCUAUCUCCAGUCAUUUAGACUCCUCUUGCUACUGGAUCAAGAUAGCUCAAUUUAGUAAUUAUAGAUUUGAUAAACAUGGGACUGUAGAUUUAAGAAUGAUCCUGUGCUGUAAGAUUACAUGAUCUGUGUAAACCAAUUGAUUAGCAGCACGGGGAUCCCCUAGGAGGUGUUCUUCUCUUAUAGCGUUUGAUGCACAAAUGUAGUUGCUGCUGCUGUCUUGUGAAUAAAGUUAAAUCUGUCCACCAAGAAAAGCCCAUAAAAUCACAGGGGGAGGAAAAGAGGAGAGUGAUUCUCUUGAGUAUUUGUGGGAGCAAGA
Molecule: long non-coding RNA, 939 nt
Organism: Carcharodon carcharias (great white shark)
Lineage: Eukaryota; Metazoa; Chordata; Chondrichthyes; Lamniformes; Lamnidae
Exons: 3
Source: RefSeq, a predicted model, not a curated record